Parasteatoda tepidariorum (common house spider) is the source of this 215-nucleotide non-coding RNA. Lineage: Eukaryota; Metazoa; Arthropoda; Arachnida; Araneae; Theridiidae. The record is from RefSeq and is a predicted model, not a curated record.
UCAAUCCUACUAUUAGAUAUGUAGUAAUGUAGUUAAUUAUUGUUUUCUCUUAUUUUUAAUUGACUUUUUAUGUUGCUGCCUCUUAUAGCUUCUAUGAAGUCUCAUUCUGGAGUACCAGUAUCUUACAGUGCAGAAGCUUCAUUGAGUCCUCAAACCAACCCAGACGCAAAACGCCUGUGUACUGCUCCUCCAAGCCAAACUAAUACUGCAUCAAG